RNAcentral lists this ribosomal RNA (208 nucleotides) under Sardina pilchardus (European sardine). Its description in RNAcentral is "partial 12S ribosomal RNA". It matches the Rfam family "Bacterial small subunit ribosomal RNA", at positions 769 to 1010 of the family's 1533-position model. Lineage: Eukaryota; Metazoa; Chordata; Actinopteri; Clupeiformes; Clupeidae. The record is from RNAcentral.
AAACUAGGAUUAGAUACCCUAUUAUGCCCUGCCGUAAACUUAGAUGUUUUAGUACAAAAAAUAUCCGCCCGGGAACUACGAGCGCCAGCUUAAAACCCAAAGGACUUGGCGGUGCUUCAGACCCCCCUAGAGGAGCCUGUUCUAGAACCGAUUACCCCCGUUCAACCUCACUACUCCUUGCUUUUCCCGCCUAUAUACCGCCGUCGUC